Long non-coding RNA from Lycium barbarum (goji berry), 1285 nucleotides. RefSeq lists it as uncharacterized. The record is from RefSeq and is a predicted model, not a curated record. NCBI's taxonomy places the organism in Eukaryota, Viridiplantae, Streptophyta, Magnoliopsida, Solanales, Solanaceae. The transcript has 8 exons.
GUCAAAUAAAGACCCAUUAUACCCGUUCCUAUACUCGUUCCCAUUUCUGCCUCUCUCUUCUCACUUCUCUCUCCCCCUCUCUCUCUAACCCUAGAAACUCCGGCGACGUCACCGCCAUUCCUGCCGGUCAUCACACGCCGCCACCGUCCCUACCCACGCCCACGUCGUCCAUAUUCUAGGGAAUUAGCUUAUUGCUAUUCUUUACAGGAUGCAUUUGUUGCUGAGCAGCUGUUUCAAGGCUUUGAAAAUUCUUUAUAACUGGGACUGAUUCUUGUUUCCUGAAGUUGGCACAGCGGUGAUCUCUUUAUAUAGCCUUUAUUUCAGUACCGGGGACAUAAUUAACUUGUUAUUGGAUCCUUCAACAGAAAGCAUCUUGUUGGAAGAGUUGUGUUUAAGAAAGGGGAAGUUGAAUGCAUGUGGACUUUAAAGUCAAAGGUACUGCAUUACUGAAAGAGUAAAUCUUCCUUUCCGUGUAUUACCAACUAUCAAAGAAUUAGGCCGUACACUUACGGAAGUGAAUGUUAAGAUCUUCAAUAUGGACAACUUGGUGCAAGAUAAGAUUUCCGGGACAAACUGAGCGAACAUUGAGUGCUGAUGUUGAGCUAAUGAUUCCAUCCCUCCUGAGAGACCUGAUAACUGUGUUCGCUUAAGUUGACGAUUUUCUUUAUCCCUUGUAUGGAUCUUUUGGAGGGCUUUCUGUGGGGUGGGGUUCCCAUGUUUACAACAUCUGGUUUGCGUGUUCGGUUUCUUAAGGUGUGGGAGAAGAGUGGCUACAACACAGUUGAGUGGGUUCGUUAUAUCACUAAAGCUGCUUCGUACGAGAUAAGGUGCUAAGAUGAAAGAACUACUUGAGUUGAGGUUGUCUUCGAUUGAUAGCCGGUGUAAAAAUUAAUCUUUUUGAGGGAUGAAAUCAUACCAACACUUAUGCACCGGAUCCUGUCAGAACUUUAAAUGUGUGUGGGCGAGAAUAGUACUAGGAUGGGUGACCCGCGGAGAGUUUUCAUGUUUCAUCUGUUACUGACCCCAACUAGUUUGGAAUUGAGGCGGAGCUUGAUUAUCUUUUUUUUUUUUUUUUUUUUUUGUGGUGUUGUUGUUGUUGUAAGUGAUUUGUGAGAACUGACAGAAGAGACCUUUGGUUAAUACUUUUCUAGUCCUUUUGCUUAUUGUUGUUGGUUUGUUUGAUAUAUUUUCCCACACAAAUUACUGUAUCUUUGUCUUGCUGGUUCCUGGAAAUGAAUUAGAAGCUAUUUAACCUUCUAUUAAUUGAAAUGUUUUCUUUUGGUUC